Molecule: ribosomal RNA, 522 nt
Filed under: Pseudomonas oryzihabitans
Lineage: Bacteria; Pseudomonadati; Pseudomonadota; Gammaproteobacteria; Pseudomonadales; Pseudomonadaceae
Description: bacterial SSU rRNA
Rfam family: Bacterial small subunit ribosomal RNA
Source: RNAcentral
GGCUCACCAAGGCGACGAUCCGUAACUGGUCUGAGAGGAUGAUCAGUCACACUGGAACUGAGACACGGUCCAGACUCCUACGGGAGGCAGCAGUGGGGAAUAUUGGACAAUGGGCGAAAGCCUGAUCCAGCCAUGCCGCGUGUGUGAAGAAGGUCUUCGGAUUGUAAAGCACUUUAAGUUGGGAGGAAGGGCAGUAAGCGAAUACCUUGCUGUUUUGACGUUACCGACAGAAUAAGCACCGGCUAACUCUGUGCCAGCAGCCGCGGUAAUACAGAGGGUGCAAGCGUUAAUCGGAAUUACUGGGCGUAAAGCGCGCGUAGGUGGUUUGUUAAGUUGGAUGUGAAAGCCCCGGGCUCAACCUGGGAACUGCAUCCAAAACUGGCAAGCUAGAGUACAGUAGAGGGUGGUGGAAUUUCCUGUGUAGCGGUGAAAUGCGUAGAUAUAGGAAGGAACACCAGUGGCGAAGGCGACCACCUGGACUGAUACUGACACUGAGGUGCGAAAGCGUGGGGAGCAAACAGG